This 297-nucleotide ribosomal RNA is filed under the name Poecilia sphenops (Mexican molly). RNAcentral describes it as "partial small subunit ribosomal RNA". It matches the Rfam family "Bacterial small subunit ribosomal RNA", at positions 1050 to 1496 of the family's 1533-position model. Lineage: Eukaryota; Metazoa; Chordata; Actinopteri; Cyprinodontiformes; Poeciliidae. The record is from RNAcentral.
CGUCGUCAGCAUACCCUGUGAAGGAAACAUAGUAAGCAAAAUUGGUAGAACCCAAAACGCCAGGUCGAGGUGUAGCACACGAAAAGGAAAGAAAUGGGCUACAUUUCCUCUUACAGGAAAUACGAAUUGUGUCAUGAAACAACACAUGAAGGAGGAUUUAGCAGUAAGCAGAAAACAGAGUGUUCUACUGAACCCGGCCCUGAAGCACGCACACACCGCCCGUCACCCUCCCCAAAUCAAAAUACACCUGUAUUUAAAAACUUAAAGAAACUAAAGGGGAGGUAAGUCGUAACAUGG